CAAGAUGAAUAGUAUAGUCCCAGGG
RNAcentral lists this unclassified non-coding RNA (25 nucleotides) under Mus musculus (house mouse). Its description in RNAcentral is "oocyte_clustered_small_RNA1593". The record is from RNAcentral. Lineage: Eukaryota; Metazoa; Chordata; Mammalia; Rodentia; Muridae.